AAGGAACCAAAAUCCAAUUUAACAGACAUUUUUUCCAUAUUAAUGCCCGAGAAAGAGAAAAGACAAAGCCUGGGGGGAUUUGACGCCUCUGCCUCCCCCUUGGCUAUAUUCUAAGAUCGCGAUCGCAAGCCAUUAAUUGUGCCAAAAAGUGGAAUUAUCUGCGUUUAGAAUUGAGAGGGGGUUUGAAUUUAUUUUCGUUAAACAAUGGGGGUUAUGUCGAGGCGGA
Molecule: non-coding RNA, 226 nt
Organism: Prunus avium (sweet cherry)
Lineage: Eukaryota; Viridiplantae; Streptophyta; Magnoliopsida; Rosales; Rosaceae
Source: RefSeq, a predicted model, not a curated record